Molecule: ribosomal RNA, 483 nt
Filed under: uncultured bacterium
Lineage: Bacteria
Description: partial 16S ribosomal RNA
Rfam family: Bacterial small subunit ribosomal RNA
Source: RNAcentral
GACGAACGCUGGCGGCGUGCUUAACACAUGCAAGUCGAACGAUGAUGCCCAGCUUGCUGGGUGGAUUAGUGGCGAACGGGUGAGUAACACGUGAGUAGCCUGCCCCUGACUCUGGGAUAAGCGUUGGAAACGACGUCUAAUACUGGAUAUGACUGCCGGCCGCAUGGUCUGGUGGUGGAAAGAUUUUUUGGGUGGGGAUGGACUCGCGGCCUAUCAGCUUGUUGGUGAGGUAAUGGCUCACCAAGGCGACGACGGGUAGCCGGCCUGAGAGGGUGACCGGCCACACUGGGACUGAGACACGGCCCAGACUCCUACGGGAGGCAGCAGUGGGGAAUAUCGCACAAUGGGCGAAAGCCUGAUGCAGCAACGCCGCGUGAGGGGUGACGGCCUUCGGGUUGUAAACCUCUUUUAGUAGGGAAGAAGCGUAAGUGACGGUACCUGCAGAAAAAGCACCGGCUAACUACGUGCCAGCCGCCGCCGUAA